RNAcentral lists this non-coding RNA (45 nucleotides) under Schistosoma margrebowiei. The record is from RNAcentral. Lineage: Eukaryota; Metazoa; Platyhelminthes; Trematoda; Strigeidida; Schistosomatidae.
AUCCAGCUGACGAGUUCCAAAUAGGACGAAACGUGCAUCCUGGAU